UACAGAGGUCCCAAGCGUUGUUCGGAUUCACUGGGCGUAAAGGGUGCGUAGGCGGUCGGGUAAGUCUGGCGUGAAAUCUCCAAGCCUAACUUGGAAACUGCGUUGGAUACUAUCCGGCUCGAGGAAUGGAGGGGAGACUGGAAUACUUGGUGUAGCAGUGAAAUGCGUAGAUAUCGGGAGGAACAUCAGUGGCGAAGGCGGCUGCCUGGCCCAAUACUGACACUCAGGUGCGACAGCGUGGGGAGCAAACAGG
Molecule: ribosomal RNA, 253 nt
Filed under: uncultured bacterium
Lineage: Bacteria
Description: partial 16S ribosomal RNA
Rfam family: Bacterial small subunit ribosomal RNA
Source: RNAcentral